This 468-nucleotide ribosomal RNA is filed under the name uncultured bacterium. RNAcentral describes it as "partial 16S ribosomal RNA". It matches the Rfam family "Bacterial small subunit ribosomal RNA", at positions 28 to 507 of the family's 1533-position model. The record is from RNAcentral.
GACGAACGCUGGCGGCGUGCUUAACACAUGCAAGUCGAACGGAAAGGCCCUGCUUUUGUGGGGUGCUCGAGUGGCGAACGGGUGAGUGACACGUGAGUAACCUGCCCUUGACUUUGGGAUAACUUCAGGAAACUGGGGCUAAUACCGGAUAGGAGCUCCUGCUGCAUGGUGGGGGGUGGAAAGUUUCGGCGGUUGGGGAUGGACUCGCGGCUUAACAGCUUGUUGGUUGGGGAGUGGUUUGCCGACGCCUUGGCGGGUAGCCGGCCUGGGAGGGUGAACGGCGACAUGGGGCCUGCGAGAGGGACCAGACGGCAAUGGGGGGCAGCGGUGGGGAAUCUUGCACAGUGGGAGGGAGCCGGAGGAGGAAACGUCGCGUGCGGAAUGACCGCCUGCGGGGUGUGAACCGCUUUCGCCUGAGACGAAGCGUGAGUGACGGUAAUGGGUGAAGAAGCACCGGCUAACUACGUG